UGGGGAAUUUUGGACAAUGGGCGAAAGCCUGAUCCAGCAAUGCCGCGUGUGUGAAGAAGGCCCUCGGGUUGUAAAGCACUUUUGUCCGGAAAGAAAUCCUUGGCUCUAAUACAGUCGGGGGAUGACGGUACCGGAAGAAUAAGCACCGGCUAACUACGUGCCAGCAGCCGCGGUAAUACGUAGGGUGCAAGCGUUAAUCGGAAUUACUGGGCGUAAAGCGUGCGCAGGCGGUUUGCUAAGACCGAUGUGAAAUCCCCGGGCUCAACCUGGGAACUGCAUUGGUGACUGGCAGGCUAGAGUAUGGCAGAGGGGGGUAGAAUUCCACGUGUAGCAGUGAAAUGCGUAGAGAUGUGGAGGAAUACCGAUGGCGAAGGCAGCCCCCUGGGCCAAUACUGACGCUCAUGCACGAAAGCGUGGGGAGCAAACAGGAUUAGAUACCCUGGUAGUCCACGCCCUAAACGAUGUCAACUAGUUGUUGGGGACUUCAUUUUCCUUAGUAACGUA
RNAcentral lists this ribosomal RNA (504 nucleotides) under uncultured bacterium. RNAcentral's name for it is "partial 16S ribosomal RNA". It matches the Rfam family "Bacterial small subunit ribosomal RNA", at positions 355 to 850 of the family's 1533-position model. The record is from RNAcentral.